This is a long non-coding RNA of Grus americana (Whooping crane), 8754 nucleotides long. RefSeq lists it as uncharacterized. Lineage: Eukaryota; Metazoa; Chordata; Aves; Gruiformes; Gruidae. The record is from RefSeq and is a predicted model, not a curated record. The transcript is spliced from 2 exons.
CGUCCUCUCAGGCGGACGGGACCAUGCCUGUCGGAUUCCGGCGAACCUGUAAUGAACGACAGGACGGUCUAGCUCCUUGCGUAGCUAACUAGGUCACUGUCAGCACUUAAUUACUGUUUGUUUCAUUUUAGUGCGUGCCUUAUGAAUAAACCGGCUAUUAGGCUGAUGCUUCAAGUAACCCUAUCCAGCACCAAGAACAAGAAGAGAUCAGGAGCUUGAACAGCAGAAUUACAGAUUUGGAAGGUUAUGAAGACAUCAUUAAAUUCAGAAGUCUGUGGCCACAUUAAAUAGGCAGGAGCUGUGAACUGGCAAAAGCCUUCAUUACUGAAUCAAUAUGAAGCCAUUGUCCUAAGAAGUCCUCCCUUAAGGAAGCAGCUCUAACCCGCAGUAUAUCAAGACUUCUUGGGUACAUGAGAUUAGCAAGGAAGCUCAUUGGCAAGUGAAAUAUGGCAACAGAGAGUCAUCUCCAGCACUGUUUCACCUGGUAAAAGCCUACAUGAAGUGACUGCAAGCAUGCUACCUUUCUCGUCUUUAGCACUGAUGAGUCUUGGAGUACUAUGUGUUCCUUGGAUGCUGGCAAGUGGAUAGGAUUCAACAUGCAUAGGACUGCUCUGCUCAUCUCCAUAGCUAGCACCAACAACCUGAGAAUGUCCCCUUAGUCUCCUUGUGCACUCCUAGCCUCAUUAGGGGUGAUGAAGGUAGCACCUGUCACAACAGGCCUUGGCAUCACAGCGUUUCUAACCUCCUCACACAUGUAUCACAUUUCUCCUCAGGAUAUGUUAUGACCCCUUUGCAUCAGGGCCAUGGUAUUCCUUAGCACUACUGCUGUGUUAAAGGAGCCUUCUCCAUGAGAUUCCCUGUGGCAGGUGAUAAGGAUAUUCAGAUCUUGAAGGCCAAGUGAGAUUUCUGCUGUCAAGACAGUAAAAGUGCAACUCCUUAUUCUAGGGAACACCAGGUUCCAGACACGUUGUCAACACUUGAAGCAUGGAUUAAGUGCAGAAGAUCCAAUGGCAAUUUCUUGACACAGGUUGAUUGCUGAGUCAUCUCGGGGAGGUGCUCUGCUGGACUUGUUAUUCAUGAACAAACUGGCUGGGGGUGUAGAGGUUGAGGGCAGCUUUGGCUGCAACCCUGAGAUUGUAUAGUUAAAAUCCUGAGAUAAAUGAGCAAAACAAUUAAUAAAAUUGCCAAUCUUGACUUCUGGAGAGCAAAUUUCAGCUUGUUCAGGGAUCUGCUGGGCAGGAUCACAUGGGAGACAAUUAGCUGCCCCUGGGACAACUAGUUGAUCCUCAAGAACAGCCUCCUCAAAACACAGAAUUGGUCCAUUCCAAAUCACAGAAAGAUGAGCAACUAUGGUACAAGGCCAGUAUGGAUGGGUAGGACACACUUGACUGACCUCCAAUACAAAAGAGAAGUAUGCAGAAGUUAGAAACAGGCCCAGGACUACCUGGAAGGAAUAUAGAGACAUUGCCUAAGUCUGCAGGGAGGGAAGUAGAAAAGCCGAAGCUCAGCUGGUUUUGCAACAGCAAGCGUUGUGAAGGGCAACAAAAAGCGCUUUAGUAAGUACAUUGGUAACAAAAGGGCAGCCUACGGAAAAUGUGGGCCAAGUACUCUAUGUGGGAAAGGGACCUACUGACAAAAGGCAUGGAAAAAGGUGAAGUGUUCAAUGCCUAUUCUGCUUUUUAUUCUUUUGCUUUUUUAUUACUGAGAUUUACCCUCAGUCCUGAGGCUAAUAGCAGAGUCUGAGGAAGUGAAGCACAGCCACAGUAGAGAAAGACUGAGCACUUAAGCCAACUGGACACACAAAGUUCAUGGAAACAGACAGGAUGCAUCCAAGGGUGCUAAGGAAGCCAGCCCAUGUCACUGUGAGUCUGCUGCCCAUCGACUUCAACAGGUUAUGGUGAUUGGGGAGGUCCCAAAUGGACAGAAGAAAAAAGCAAAUGUCAUACCCAUCUGCAAGAAGGUUGAGAAAGAGGGUCCAGGGAACUACAAGCUAAGUAGUCUAACCUCAGUCUCCUUGAAGAUUUUUCCUCCUGGAAACCGUUUCUGAGUUCAUGAAGUGCAAGAAGGUGAUUAGAAAUAGGCAGCAUGAAUUUACCAAGGGCAAACUGUCCAUGAUUAACCUGAUCGGUUGAGCAUGGUAAGAUGACUGGUUCUGUGGACAAGGGAAGAGUAGUGAAUAUUGUUUACCUUGACUUUAGCAAAGCUUUGCCCAAGGUCUUUGAUAGUAUCCUACCAGUCAAAAUAGUGAGAUGGGGACAGGAUAAGCAGAUGAUAAGGUGGAUGGAAAACUAGCUGAACUGCCAGGCUAAACAGGUUGUGAUUGGCAGUACAAAGUCCAUCUGACAGCUGGUUGCUCGUGGCAACCCCCCCUGGGGACAGAUUCUGGGGCCAAUGCAGUUUGCUGUCUUCACUGUUAAUUAUCUGGACUAUGGGAGAGAGUGCACUAUCAGCAAAUUUAUGAAUGAUACCAGCCGGCAGGGGAGCAGUUGAUAUGCUGGAGGGCAGGGCUGUUAUUCAGAGGGACCAGGACAGGCUGGAGGAAUGGGUUACCAGGAGCCUCACCAAGCUCAGCAAAGACAAGUGAAAAGUCCUGUGUUGCACAUGGAAUAACCCCCUAGACCUGCACAUGUUGGAGGUCAACUGACUAGAGAGCAGCUUUGCAGAAAGGAACCUGGGGUCCUCAUGGACACAUUGAGCAUGAGUUGGCAGUUGGUGCAAACAAGGUCAACUUCAUCCUGGAUUAUAUUAGCAAGAUGUAGUCAGCAGGUCCAGGGAAGUAAAUAUUCCCCACUAUUUGGCACUUGUGAGACUGCUUCUGGAGUACUGUUUUUGGCUGCCUAGCACAAGACAUUGACAUACUGCUGUGAAUGCAGCAGAGUGUCACUAAGAUCACACGGGCUAGAGUACAAGCAUAUGAUGAGAAUGUGGUGGGGCGAAUAUAGGGAAGAGAUCCAGACUCUUCUUGGAGGUAUAUGGUGAUAGGACAAGAGCUAAUGGACACAAGUUGCAAUACAGGAAAUUCUGCAUGUAAGAAAAAAAUAUUUUCAUUAUUUUCAGUGAAAAAAUAUUUUCAGGUCAAAUGCUGGAAUGGGUUUUCAAUAGAUGUUGUGGAAUCUCAGUCCUUGGAGAUAUUCAAAACCUGACUGAGCAACCUGCUUUAGUUGGAGCAUCUUUGAAUGAGAAGUUGAACUAGACGUCCUCCAGAGAUCACUUCCAAGCUGUCCAUCAGAGGGGUGAGCAGAGACCAGUGGAUGGCAACAGUUUGCCGCUGCAGAUCUGCUAGAACCCUUAUUGCCCUCAAAGAGCUUGAGCAUCAAAGGUAUGGCAUUUCAACGCUGAAAGAUGGCAGCUGACUUUCGAUUUUGAGGACUGCAGCUUUCAAUGUAGAACCCUAAAAUCUGUCUGAAUGCCUUUUUGAACCUGGCUCUUGAUACUGAACUUUGAAAAGCAUGGAUCUAUUUUCAAAGAGUGCAUGCUUCUCUACUGAAAACAUCCUAAGAGGAUGAUUAAUCAGGAUUGCUUUGAGGAACAUUUUCCUUCCUAUUGUCCUAAGAUGAGAUUGGAGAUAGUUAAAAGUGGCAGAUGUUUCAGAGUGGCCAUGUUGUUUUCCUUUGUGGGUUUCUUAUCUGCUUAAAAGUUAAUGCAUACUUGUCUGUAGGUAGCUAGUGAACAUGACUGCAAUUGGCACCUUUUUGGAGUUAGAUCAUAGUUGUCUUCUAACUGGUGUUAAUUCCCAUUUCCAAACACUCUGCUUAACUUCAGCAUUAGAAAAAACGAUAUGAGAAUGUGAUGUUGCUGCACUCACAGCGUUGUGCAGGGCUGUAUGUGGAGCUGUGCACUACAGGAAGAAUUAUACAAAAUGUAAAGCUGACUUAUAUUAGUAUCUUUCUGUUAAAAAGUAUGUACAUUCUAAACAUAGUGCUUGGAAAAAAAUGUCAUCUAUCUCCUUAUGACUGUGAUCAAAUUCUAUACAUUUUAUAAGAAACAGUAUGAACCUACUUUAUGUCUCACUAAAAAUUUAAUGUACAUGAUAGAUAUUUUACUGGAAUAUACGACUUGCCCUUCUUCUGGUGUAAUCAUUCACAGUUUUGCAAAAUAGAUAGGGAUCUCUGAUUUGGCAGCAGCUUCCACAGGUAUAAGGACAAAUACAAGGGAGUGGAUAAUCACAACCCUUGUCUUAAAGAAAAACAUCCAGCAUAUUUUUAACUUUUGAUAACUAGAAAGUGUUACUUUUAUUUUGUCUUAAAUCUUGCAUUUCAUCAUUAGUCUGAUAAUGCCUCUCUCUCUGUGACAAAAUAGAAUAUAAGCCCUCUUCUCUGUUCCUCAGUAGCAUGUUAACAAAUCUACACACUGGGUUAUAUUUUAUUAGAAAUAUGGGGAAGGGGAAAGUGGGAUUUGCCAAACGUGGAAAGAAAAAAUAUUUAUCAGCUUUCAACACUUGGAUUAAAUUAUAUCAUGGUCUGUAAGAAAAAUUAUGUCUCUAUUCAGUUUUGUUCUAUAAGAGGUUCUAUGACCCAAAACCCAUAACAUCUGCAGCUCAACUAAUAAAAGUGUCACUCACAUGCUGGUAACAAGAAUGUGCUUCUACAAAACAAGUUGUAACUAAUGAGUAUCUUUUCCCUUAGUUAAGAAAAUAAUUUCUAUUUAAAUAUCUUUGACAUUUCGAGAUCUGCAUCUUUUUAUAACCUAUAGUUUAAAGCCUAUGAUAUAAUCUGAAAACUAUCAAACAUACAAUCUUCCUAAUGUGCCAGGACUUUGAUUAUGUAAAAAUACUUUGUUGGUUCAUGGUGAAUAUUCAUAAAUGGUAUAUAUAUGGUACAUAUAAAACAUAAUUGUAAAAAGAAUACCUCUGUACUUAUUGGAGAUUUUCAAAACCCAAAUCAUUCCUUUCUACCUCUUUUUUUCCUAUUUUUAAUUAAUGUCUAUUUUGGGCAUAUUAUCUCAGUAUAAUUUCUGCUGUGGUGAUGUCUGUAGGAUCAUCAAUAGUUCCUCUACAAUGAGAACUGGAAGAUAGUCUAUAUUAGCUACUAGUUUACUUGAUCAUGUCCUGGAAUAUGCCUAGCCUUCAGUCAAACUCAUUGAAUUUCUCUCCUGUUUUAGAGUGGAUAGAGGCAGCUGAAAGGCCUGGAGUCAUAGUCAAUGGGGAUCUAGUCAAAACAGUCAAUAUUGUCCAGAAAGUCAGUCAACUCAUUUUAAAGCAGGCAUCUACUUUUAGUCAGAUGAAUCACUCUCUAGACUCCAUUGAUGUAGAUAUGUCAGGCUGGAUGAGAUGGAUCCCACCCCUACAUUCCCUAGAUCUUUCUGCUCACUUGUUUGAGACUGAAUUGAAGCCGUCCGAAAAGAAGUUUGUAGUGCAGUGUGCCUUGCAGUUGCAAUUGUGACUAGUACCGUCUCAGCCCUACUGAGUUAGCUGUAAGUCACCAGCUCAGCAUUGCCAGCUGCAUAUGUGGACUCGACUCUACAUGUACUUUUUGUGGUCAAUACAUGAGCCUCUGGUGCAUUCAGCAUUUAAAAGCAGUAAGUUCCUUUGGUGUUCUUACUAAAAACUGACUUUAAUAAGAGACAUAUUUACACUUUAGAAAGCUUGCUUUUUAAAUAGCUCCAGAACUUUUAAAUUAAGUUCGCUGACAUACUCUAAAAACUCUUCCAAGUGUUGUAAGAACUGUACCAAAUCCAUAUCAGAUACAAAUUCUGACUGAACGUCAUUAGAUAAUGCAUGCUAAAUUCUGUCUGUGUAUUUGUUUACUGGUGUGUAAAUGGAGAAACAGCCUCAUCUUCUUGUUCUGGACCUUCUACCACUAUGCCCCUUCUCAGGAACAGAGAGAGGCGUGGAAAGAUUGGGUCAAAGCUGCAAAUAUGCUUUAGAUAGAAGAGAGAGGGGAAAGAUAAGUCUGAUGGAUCAACAUGAUGGAUCAGGAUCAUGACCCUCAACUUCUAAGCCCUUUGGCUUAUUCCAUGUUUUUUUCUCCAAACACUAUGCCCUUUUUUUAUCCCUGUCCUCCAUCUCAACUGGGCUGUUUGUCCAAUGCCGAAUUCCAUGUCUUUCCUAACAGGUUACAGGUAGGGGAAAAUGAUGAGAGAAUGGAUGGCCCAGAGCGGUGGCCAGCAGUUUGUAGGUCCCUAUAGCAACAACCAGUGCCAUGUUUCAUCACAGACAGAGUAGGCCUUAAAGGCUUUACCUUGCAGAUUGGAAACAUGCCAUGAGCAUGCAGAGGAGGUGUGAGCAGAUAUCCUCCACUGACUCUUGUUUGCAUGGCAUGAAUGAAGAAUAAAGGAAAUUAGCAGCGGUGUGACAUUUCAGGAAUUGUUGGGGGUUUUUGUUAAUCAUCUCUGAAGUGGCAUAACGUCUGGAUGGGAACUACUCUUUCCUCCUGAGAUGUCUCAACAGUCAGGUCAUGAUAGGGAUGAUUCCACCCCCACUUACUGCAAGGCUGAAGUCCUCGAGACGGAUUAUUUGUUCCUCUGCUCUGCAUCCAUUUGCGUAAUUCUGGAUGCCCUUUGCCUGGAGGAAGUCACAGCCCAGCUCAAGGUGCAGAGGCUUCCUUAGCAGUGUGGGAGGAGAAGUGGGAGUGGAUUUCACAGAAACCUCUGAUCAGAAAGCUGCCUGAGCAAGCUGGUGGGGAAUGGCUGCAUUCCAGGGGCGUUUCCUAAUUGCUGUGCCACUGGAGCAUGCUGGGGAACAUAUCCCAGCCAGUGCCAAACACUCUUGUCUUCAGCUGCCUUUGCCCAAGCGUUUGACCGAUGGGUUGUGCUUGAAGGCUGUUUCCUGAUUCUGCCCUGUAGGUGAGGCAGGGAGGGAGCUUCCUGUUGUGGGAAUCUCAUUCAGGCUUAAGGGGUGAGCUAGCAGGUUUCAAGCACUGUCAAAAUAAUAAGGCUAGGUUUUCUUGCCUUACGGCAGAAGUUUAGCUUCAUAGGGACAAAAGUAUUCCUGUACCAACAGGUGCCUCACAGGAGAUGGUGAAGCUCUGCAGUGCCUUUGAACCUUCCAAGAACUGGUGCCAAAUAACAAAAAUGUCUGGGAUCUCUGCAUUGUCCCCAAAAAAACAGGCUAAAGCAGGUUUCAUGUCUGCAGCGAUAUUUUUUUACCGUGUGAAUUCAAUAAUCUGGUUUUGCACCUGUGACAAGUUGACGUGGUACUUGCCUCUUCCCUGGCCUUUAACUAAUUGUAGUUUGAAAAAUGUUGUGGUACAAUGUCCUUAACAUGGGUUUUAUAAUAAGUAAUCAGUACAUCCUGUUUACACGGUGACAUUCAGUAAAACACAAAUGUUGAUGAUUUGUCCCACAUUUUGUUCAGUUGUAUCACUCAAUAUAUUAAAGAUUAUUUCAUUAAAACAAUUUGUUACUGUGAUUUAAGGAAAAUUUCAGGGGUUCUCUGUCCACAAUCUUUAGGAAUAUGUCCCAUUCCCAGAAAUAGAUUUGAAAGCUAGAAAAAAUGGCAGGGAAUGUGAGUUUGCAUCCUCUUCGCUGACUUUCUGUCUAUAUCUUUAUGUAAUUAAUUUUAUGAAGACAGCAGCUUGCUUACAUCAAGUAAAUAAUUUUAUGGGAAGAACAGAACUCUUAAAUACAUGGCAAAAAGGCAUGCCAAGUGCCAAUGUUUGAAAAGUAAAGUCAAAUUCAAGUAAGAGAAAUGCCAUCAAUUUUAAAUAGCGUAACUACCAAUAGUAUGUCCAUCUUCAAAUCACGAUGUCAAACAUAAAUUAUCUCAGGUAUUGUUGAAAGAGAGUCUGUGGUGUUUGUUAGAUGUGAGACCAAAGUAGAUAACUUAGCAGCUUUUUCUAGCUCUAGAAACUUUGACAACAUGUGUUGGGUUUGCAUGACAAGGUUUUGGUAGAGGGGGGGCUACAGGGGUGGCUUCUGUGAGAAGCUGCUAGAAGCUCCCCCUGUGUCUGAUAGAGCCAAUGCCAGCCGGCUCCAAGACGGACCCACCACUGGCCAAGGCCAAGACAAUCAGCACCUCUGUGAUAACAUAUUUAAGAAGAAGAAAAACAGUUAGAGGGAGCUUUUGCAGCCAGAGAGAGGAGUGAGAAGAUGUAAGAAACUCUGCAGUCACCAAGGUCAGUGCAGAAGUAGGGGCAGGAGGUGCUCCAGGCACCGGAGCAGAGAUCCCCCUGCAGCCCCUGGAGAAGACCAUGGUGAGGCAGGCUGUGCCCCUGCAGCCCCAUGGAGGAAGGAUGAGGGGGUGUAGAGAUUCCACCUGCAGCCCGUGGAGGACCCCAGAGCAGGUGGAGGCACCUGAAGGAGGCUGUGGCCCGUGGGAAGCCCAUGCUGGAGCAAGCUCCUGGCAGGACCCGUGGACCCGUGGAGAGAGGAGCCCACACCAGAGCAGGUUUGCUGGCAGGACUUGAGACCCCGUGGGGGACCCAUGCUGGAGCAGUCUGGUCCUGAAGGUCUGCAGCCCAUGGAAGAGACCACGCUGGAGCAGUUCGUGAAGCAGCCCAUGGGAAGAACUCAUGUUGGAGAAGUUCAUGAAGGACUGUCUCCCGUGAGAGGGACUCCAUGCUGGAGCAAGGGAAUGAUGAGAGAAGUCCUCCCCCAUGAGGAUGAAGAAGCAGCAGAUCCAACAUGUGAUGAACUGACCGUAACCCCCAUUCCCCGUCCCCCUGUGCCGCUGAGGGGGGUGGAGGUUGAAGCCGGGAGUGAAGUUGAGCCCGGGAAGAUGGGAGGGGUGCGGGGAGGUGUUUUAAGAUUUGAUUUUAUUUCUCAUUGCUCUACUCUGUUUUGCUUAGUAAUAAAUUAGAUGAAUUUCCUCUCUAA